Molecule: ribosomal RNA, 253 nt
Filed under: uncultured bacterium
Lineage: Bacteria
Description: partial 16S ribosomal RNA
Rfam family: Bacterial small subunit ribosomal RNA
Source: RNAcentral
GACAGAGGUGGCAAGCGUUGUUCGGAAUUACUGGGCUUAAAGGGCGCGUAGGCGGUGGCGUAAGUCCGGGGUGGAAGGCUGAGGCUUAACCUCAGGAUUGCCCUGGAAACUGCAUCACUUGAGUCAGCAAGGGGAUGGCGGAAUUCCUGGUGUAGCGGUGAAAUGCGUAGAUAUCAGGAGGAAGGCCGGUGGCGAAGGCGGCCAUCUGGUGCUGAACUGACGCUGAGGCGCGAAAGCGUGGGGAGCAAACAGG